GGAGGAAAGCAGGGGAUCGUAAGACCUCGCGCGAUACGAGCGGCCGAUGUCGGAUUAGCUAGUUGGGGAGGUAAAGGCUCACCAAGGCGACGAUCCGUAGCUGGUCUGAGAGGACGACCAGCCACACUGGGACUGAGACACGGCCCAGACUCCUACGGGAGGCAGCAGUGGGGAAUUUUGGACAAUGGGGGAAACCCUGAUCCAGCCAUGCCGCGUGAGUGAAGAAGGCCUUCGGGUUGUAAAGCUCUUUCGCAAGGAAAGAAAACCUAUCCGCUAAUACCGGGUGGGGAUGACGGUACCUUGAUAAGAAGCACCGGCUAACUACGUGCCAGCAGCCGCGGUAAUACGUAGGGUGCGAGCGUUAAUCGGAAUUACUGGGCGUAAAGCGUGCGCAGGCGGUUUCGUAAGUCAGAUGUGAAAUCCCCGGGCUCAACCUGGGAACUGCGUUUGAAACUACAAAGCUAG
Molecule: ribosomal RNA, 465 nt
Filed under: uncultured ammonia-oxidizing beta proteobacterium
Lineage: Bacteria; Pseudomonadati; Pseudomonadota; Betaproteobacteria
Description: bacterial SSU rRNA
Rfam family: Bacterial small subunit ribosomal RNA
Source: RNAcentral